RNAcentral lists this ribosomal RNA (460 nucleotides) under uncultured bacterium. Its description in RNAcentral is "partial 16S ribosomal RNA". It matches the Rfam family "Bacterial small subunit ribosomal RNA", at positions 338 to 795 of the family's 1533-position model. The record is from RNAcentral.
CCUACGGGCGGCAGCAGUGAGGAAUAUUGGUCAAUGGACGCAAGUCUGAACCAGCGAUGCCGCGUGCAGGAAGACGGCUCUAUGAGUUGUAAACUGCUUUUGUACGAGGGUAAACGCAGAUACGCGUAUCUCUCUGAAAGUAUCGUACGAACAAGGAUCGGCCAACCCCGUGCCAGCAGACGCGGUAAUACGGAGGAUUCAAGCGUUAUCCGGAUUUAUUGGGUUUAAAGGGUGUGUAGGCGGUCGGAUAAGUUAGAGGUGAAAUCCCGAGGCUCAACGUCGGAAUUGCCUCUGAUACUGUUCGGCUAGAGAGUAGUUGCGGUAGGCGGAAUGUAUGGUGUAGCAGUGAAAUGCUUAGAGAUCAUGCAGAACACCGAUUGCGAAGGCAGCUUACCAAGCUACUACUGACGUUGAGGCACGAAAGCGUGGGGAGCAAACAGGAUUAGAUACCCUUGUAGUC